Small nucleolar RNA from Ornithorhynchus anatinus (platypus), 138 nucleotides. NCBI's taxonomy places the organism in Eukaryota, Metazoa, Chordata, Mammalia, Monotremata, Ornithorhynchidae. The record is from RefSeq and is a predicted model, not a curated record.
GUCCUCUCAGGAUCACACCUGGAGAGUUUCCAGGAGUCUACCAGCCUUGGCUACGGGAGGCAGAGUCAAGCAGAAGCUUACCUAUUCCAUUCCUAGCUUGGUCAGAGGCUAGUGAGUGGAAGGCCAUCUGCAACAAAU